This 486-nucleotide ribosomal RNA is filed under the name uncultured bacterium. RNAcentral describes it as "partial 16S ribosomal RNA". It matches the Rfam family "Bacterial small subunit ribosomal RNA", at positions 30 to 507 of the family's 1533-position model. The record is from RNAcentral.
AUUGAACGCUGGCGACAUGCCUUACACAUGCAAGUCGAACGGCAGCACGGGUGCUUGCACCUGGUGGCGAGUGGCGAACGGGUGAGUAAUACAUCGGAACAUGUCCUGUAGUGGGGGAUAGCCCGGCGAAAGCCGGAUUAAUACCGCAUACGAUCUACGGAUGAAAGCGGGGGACCUUCGGGCCUCGCGCUAUAGGGUUGGCCGAUGGCUGAUUAGCUAGUUGGUGGGGUAAAGGCCUACCAAGGCGACGAUCAGUAGCUGGUCUGAGAGGACGACCAGUCACACUGGGACCGAGACACGGCCCAGACUCCUACGGGAGGCAGCAGUGGGGAAUUUUGGACAAUGGGCGAAAGCCUGAUCCAGCAAUGCCGCGUGUGUGAAGAAGGCCUUCGGGUUGUAAAGCACUUUUGUCCGGAAAGAAAUCCUUGGCCCUAAUACGGUCGGGGGAUGACGGUACCGGAAGAAUAAGCACCGGCUAACUACGUG